Molecule: long non-coding RNA, 663 nt
Organism: Cornus florida
Lineage: Eukaryota; Viridiplantae; Streptophyta; Magnoliopsida; Cornales; Cornaceae
Exons: 3
Source: RefSeq, a predicted model, not a curated record
AUUCCAAUCUACACUCUCUCUCUCUCUCUCUCGACCUCUCUCCCUCCAAUCUCCCCCUCCAUACUCUCUAUACAUACAACACAUCCUUCAGAGCCAGAACCGGCAAAAUGGGCAACGACGAGGCAAUAUUUUUCACCACACCAGUAACCAAAAAUCCCACAACACUGACCGGAGAUUUUGAAGAAGAAGCUCAUGAUUAGAUUUUGUAAAAUUUGAGGCCGACCCAACCCUACUUCUCUGCAAUUUCACUGAAAAAUGGAGAAUCAAGUCAUUUCCAAUGUUGAAACUUAUAUUUCAUUUGAAACAUUGAAUGGCAAUCUCAUUCAGGGCCUAUUGGCAGCAGAAGCAGAGUUUAGAGCGCUACAGUGUGAUUUAAAUUCAAUAUUUCUAUUACCAUUUUCAAUAUGCGUUAUAUAUUUGUUGUUACAUGUAUUGAAAAUGGUAAUAGGAAUAUUAAAUUUAAUCUGAAUUCUACAUCGGGUAUAUAUUUGUUGUAAGUUUUAUAUGUACCACUCGCAAGUACACGAAUCAUGGUGGACAUGUGAUGAAGUGCUAACAAGCAGCGGAACUGUUGGUUGAGCAAAGAAUGCAUUUUGAUUCUUGAUAUGUUUACCUUAAGUAUUAAGAUUAUAUCCUAAUCUUAUGCAUUGGUUUACCCAAGUU